UGUGGGAGGGGGUUGCUCCCGAUGGCAGUGUGUCAGUCAGCUCAGCUGUACCUGAUACAGCGCUAUCGGGAGCAAGUCCCCUCCCACA
This 88-nucleotide unclassified non-coding RNA is filed under the name Pseudomonas antarctica. Lineage: Bacteria; Pseudomonadati; Pseudomonadota; Gammaproteobacteria; Pseudomonadales; Pseudomonadaceae. The record is from RNAcentral.